AAGUGAGAGUGGGUCGAGAAGUCAGAAUUAAUAGAGGAGUCGAAGAGUAGAGUUGUUAGAGUUAGCGUUGUCGAGUUGCAUUUCGAAGAGUAGAGUUGUUAGAGUUAGCGUCGUCGAGUUGCAUUGUUGAGAGUAGAGUUGUUAGCGUUGCGGAGUUCCGUGAGUAGCCAAGUUAGAAUAAGAUUGUUACUAUUAGUUCCAUAUUGAACAACCAUCGUUGUCUGUCUCAUUAAUAUCUGUAUAACUAAUUUAAAAUAAAAUAAAUAGUAUGAAAGAAAUUGUAUAUCUAAUACUUUCCGCGAUACUACACAUAUAACACAAACAAAGCAUGUCAAAUACCUAGG
Molecule: unclassified non-coding RNA, 344 nt
Filed under: Bombus terrestris (buff-tailed bumblebee)
Lineage: Eukaryota; Metazoa; Arthropoda; Insecta; Hymenoptera; Apidae
Description: misc RNA ENSBTSG00005025553.1
Source: RNAcentral